Molecule: ribosomal RNA, 511 nt
Filed under: uncultured bacterium
Lineage: Bacteria
Description: bacterial SSU rRNA
Rfam family: Bacterial small subunit ribosomal RNA
Source: RNAcentral
AGAGUUUGAUCAUGGCUCAGGAUGAACGCUAGCGACAGGCUUAACACAUGCAAGUCGAGGGGCAGCGGGGCGGCAGGCUUGCCUGCCGUUGCCGGCGACCGGCGCACGGGUGAGUAACACGUAUGCAACCUGCCCGUGGCAGGGGGAUAAGCGGGGGAAACCCCGUCUAAUACCGCGUAACGCGGCCUAGGGACAUCCCAAGGCCGCCAAAGGGAGCAAUCCCGGCCACGGAUGGGCAUGCGGCGCAUUAGCUAGUCGGCGGGGUAACGGCCCACCGAGGCGACGAUGCGUAGGGGUUCUGAGAGGAAGGCCCCCCACACUGGUACUGAGACACGGACCAGACUCCUACGGGAGGCAGCAGUGACCAAUAUUGGUCAAUGGGCGCGAGCCUGAACCAGCCAAGUCGCGUGAGGGAGGACGGCCCUACGGGUUGUAAACCUCUUUUGCCAGGGAGCAACGGGCGCCACGUGUGGCGCCACUGAUAUACCCGGAAAAAAAGCAUCAGCUAAAU